GAGCCAGGACCCAUCCUGCUACGGGCUCACCCUCCAAAUGACCCACUUGCUCCAUCUGUGUGCGUAGGGGAGCUGCCAUUCUGAAACAAGCUCUUCUCAGAUCCCCAUUCUCAGGUGGCUCGAGGUAACACUGGCCUUCCCACCUCCGUGUAAUUGUUCCUCCUCAUGCAAGAUCAUAAACUUCCGCUGAGUAUUUUGACAGAAUCAGCCAGACAGUAGGGAUUACAGAAACCCCUAAAUGACACCCCACGAUCACAUAAAUAAAACCUAAGAGCACCUUUUAAAUAACAGGAGACACUCACUCCUGGGACUGUAGCAUGACAGAACAUGCCCAAGGGUGGGGUGGCGAAACUGGUGAAAGAGAAGGGAUAAGUGACUUUAUGGGAAAGUUGGGACGUCACUAUUUCUUAAGAAAAAAAAAAAUGCAUUACCAGUACUACACUACAAAUAAUGUUACAGGAAUGCUCAGAUAUAACAUGAUGAUUUAACAGACACACUUGGCAACCAGCACCGACACAUUGAGAAGUGUGGAAAUUACAUACAUUAAAUUAACAGUGGUAAAGGAAAACCAGCCAGCACAAAUUAGUGAAAUCAAAGCACUCGAUAGCAAUUAAAACUAACAAAAACUUUUAAAUUUGCCCACAGUUUCUUACCUCAUUCAUCCAGGCACCAACAAUUUGGUUUUGUCUUCGGCACAUCAGUAUCGUUAGAGAACUAUCCAAACUAUAUAGUGUUAAUAUUAGAUAUCGCGCAACCUGUAGGUUGUAUUUCCAAAAAUAAGCAGAAGUCAGCUACCACUUUUCACAGACCAGAAAACACGCCAGUGUCUCUCCAUCGCUCACUUUGUUCGCCGAUCGAUAACAGUUUAGUCAAGCUGUUCCGUAAAAAGCUGUGUGGUACUGUCCAAAGAGCUAGCCAGCUAGCCAACUAACUGUUAGCUAGCUAAGUUGCACACGGUAAUUUAACUUUGUUUGAUAAAUCCAUACGUGUUUCAGAACAACCCUUUUUGUCUUGGCAUAUGAAAUCCACACGACUAUCAAACUGUUUACACUUGAAUAAAGUUCCUUUUCAGUCGUCACCAUUCCGGUUCAGCCUUGAUGGCUGAAGUUUUUGUCCAGUGAAGAGGGUUUUUGUCUCAGCAUUGAUCCAGCAAGCGAAGACGUCAUCAUCUCCUGCUGUCAAUUUCCCACCCCGGACCCUGGCGUUGUCUGGAGGAGCGGUUUGCCACAACAUGCAAUAAAAGUGCGUGACGGAAUCUUCUUCCGACAAUGUUUGGCAAAAGAGUUACAUCACGGAAUGUUUUGACUCUGCUGUUACUCUGCAUUUCAUAUCAAUAGGACACGGGGUGCCUGUGUUUUUAAGAAAUGGCC
Long non-coding RNA from Clupea harengus (Atlantic herring), 1370 nucleotides. NCBI's taxonomy places the organism in Eukaryota, Metazoa, Chordata, Actinopteri, Clupeiformes, Clupeidae. The record is from Ensembl.